AAUAGAUACCCGGGUAGUCCCAGCCGUAAACGAUGCUCGCUAGGUGUCAGGCAUGGCGCGACCGUGUCUGGUGCCGCAGGGAAGCCGUGAAGCGAGCCACCUGGGAAGUACGGCCGCAAGGCUGAAACUUAAAGGAAUUGGCGGGGGAGCACAACAACGGGUGGAGCCUGCGGUUUAAUUGGACUCAACGCCGGACAACUCACCGGGGGCGACAGCAAUAUGUAGGCCAAGCUGAAGACUUUGCCUGAAUCGCUGAGAGGAGGUGCAUGGCCGUCGCCAGUUCGUACUGUGAAGCAUCCUGUUAAGUCAGGCAACGAGCGAGACCCGUGCCCACUGUUACCAGCAUGUCCUCCGGGACGAUGGGUACUCUGUGGGGACCGCCGAUGUUAAAUCGGAGGAAGGUGCGGGCCACGGUAGGUCAGUAUGCCCCGAAUCUCCCGGGCUACACGCGGGCUACAAUGGAUGGGACAAUGGGUCCCGUCCCCUGAAAAGGGCUGGUAAUCUCACAAACCCAUUCGUAGUUCGGAUCGAGGGCUGUAACUCCG
Molecule: ribosomal RNA, 545 nt
Filed under: uncultured bacterium
Lineage: Bacteria
Description: bacterial SSU rRNA
Rfam family: Archaeal small subunit ribosomal RNA
Source: RNAcentral